GACGAACGCUGGCGGCAUGCUUAACACAUGCAAGUCGAACGGAAAGUGCUGUUUUCAGUGGCGUACGGGGGUGUAAAACGUAAGAAUCUCCCCUUGGUAGGGGAACAACAACUGGAACCUGUUGCUAAUACCCCGGAGCCCGUGGAGGAAAAGAAGUAAUCCGCCCAAGGAGGGGCUUGCGUCUGGUUCUCGUGGUGGUGGGGUAAUCGCUUACCAAGGGGAUGAUGAGUAGCCGGUCCGAGAGGAUGACCAGCCACACGGGGACUGAGACCCGGGCCAAGCUCCUGCGGGAAGGAGGAGGGGGGAAUUUUCCGGAAUGGGCGAAAGCCUGACGGAGCAAUGGCGCGGGGAGGUAGGAGGCUCUUAGGACUUGAACUUCUUUUCUCCGGGAAGGAUCAUGACGGUAAUCUGAGAAGAAGGCACGGCCUAAUUCGGG
This 436-nucleotide ribosomal RNA is filed under the name uncultured bacterium. RNAcentral's name for it is "partial 16S ribosomal RNA". It matches the Rfam family "Bacterial small subunit ribosomal RNA", at positions 28 to 506 of the family's 1533-position model. The record is from RNAcentral.